Pyrus x bretschneideri (Chinese white pear) is the source of this 1026-nucleotide long non-coding RNA. RefSeq lists it as uncharacterized. The transcript is spliced from 2 exons. Lineage: Eukaryota; Viridiplantae; Streptophyta; Magnoliopsida; Rosales; Rosaceae. The record is from RefSeq and is a predicted model, not a curated record.
CUAUUAGAUAUUUUUGAUGAAUUGGGGUUGAGUUUGGGAUUAUACAUACACACAUAUACACACAUAUAUAUAUAUAUAUAUAUAUAUUCAUGCAUGCUUGUUCUUUGAAUCUCCAUUUUCGGUGAGAAACCCAACGGCUUGCGAGCAAAUUUCUGGUCAACUUCGGCCACGGCUGACUCGGAGAAAGUAGUGGAAUAACUGUGAGUGGACUUCUUCUCAAAUGAAUAUUUUAUAAAUCUUAGGAUUGCAUGCAUAUCUUAUUUCAUAAUUUGAGCAUAUUUUAAAGUAUGUUUUACAGAUUUCCAUAUUUUUGGUUUAUGGAGAAUUUGUGAUUUAUUUAAAUUGCUUUAUGAAAUAUUUAUGAUUUAUCUAAUUUACAUUCUAUUAAAGGUUAUGAACUAUUUGUUUUAUAGGUAAAAAAUUCAGUGGAUUUACGACAUGGCUUUAUUCGACAAGGUUUUGAGCUUUUGAGCUCUGAUGUUUUGGCAUGAGUUUUUGAGAUAUGUUUUCGGUAAAUAUCUAGUGGGUUAUCGUACAACGCAUCCACACAACACGGAUAUGUAGACAUCUAUGGCUAUAGGACACAGUUGAGGAUACUUAUGUUAUACCCCCCAGCUUUACUGGUGAAACCAAUGUCGAACAACUUCAUUAGCCACGACUAGUAUUGGUGUGUGAUGUUAUAUGUAUAUGUUUCUUCUCUAGUGUAACCUAGAGGUGUACAGCUUCACCUUCGGGUGAUGGGGCCUACCAUGUUUCUUCACUGGCGUAACCCAGUGUCGUAUAGCUUCACCUUCAGAUGAUGGACAGGUACUGUCUUCGGGCGAUUAUAAUACCCCUAGAAAGUACAAGCAUUGAUGAGAUUUAUGGAUUUGCCUUUGGGCGACGAUAACACCAUUAUUAAGCAUUGUUUUACUUGUACUUGUUUGGUAAUUACUCUUCUGUGCUUGGUAAUUACCAGACUGAGUAUUGCUUUUAUUCUAUCCAUUGUUACUCACAGAUAAAGAGGCUAAAGCCUUCUCAGUUGCA